RNAcentral lists this ribosomal RNA (235 nucleotides) under uncultured bacterium. RNAcentral describes it as "partial 16S ribosomal RNA". It matches the Rfam family "Bacterial small subunit ribosomal RNA", at positions 96 to 334 of the family's 1533-position model. The record is from RNAcentral.
UGGCGAACGGGUGAGUAACACGUGGGUGAUCUGCCCCGCACUGUGGGAUAAGCCUGGGAAACUAGGUCUAAUACCACAUACGACCACACUGUAGACAGUGUGGUGGAAAGCUUUUGCGGUGUGGGAUGAGCCCGCGGCCUAUCAGCUUGUUGGUGGGGUAAUGGCCUACCAAGGCGGCGACGGGUAGCCGGCCUGAGAGGGUGGACGGCCACAUUGGGACUGAGACACGGCCCAG